UCUAAUGUGGCAGAAUUAAAUGUUGUGAGCUUAAAAUUCAUUUAUAAAUAUUAAUAUUUCUUUAGAA
Molecule: transfer RNA, 67 nt
Filed under: Kapsa arca
Lineage: Eukaryota; Metazoa; Arthropoda; Insecta; Hemiptera; Cicadellidae
Description: tRNA-Leu
Source: RNAcentral